RNAcentral lists this transfer RNA (69 nucleotides) under Enneapterygius etheostoma. Its description in RNAcentral is "tRNA-Ala". It matches the Rfam family "tRNA". Rfam says of the family: Transfer RNA (tRNA) molecules are approximately 80 nucleotides in length. Lineage: Eukaryota; Metazoa; Chordata; Actinopteri; Blenniiformes; Tripterygiidae. The record is from RNAcentral.
AAGGCUUUAGCUUAUUUAAAGUGUCUGUUUUGCAUGCAGAAGAUGUGAGAUAAAUACUCGCAAGCCUUA